CGUGGGUGGAUGAGUGGCGAACGGGUGAGUAACACGUGAGUACCUGCCCCUUCUUUGGAUACGCCCGGAAACGGGUGCUAAUACUGGAUAUUCACUUGCCUUCGCAUGGGGGUUGGUGGAAAGGGUUUUUUCUGGUGGGGGAUGGGCUCGCGGCCUAUCAGCUUGUUGGUGGGGUGAUGGCCUACCAAGGCUUUGACGGGUAGCCGGCCUGAGAGGGUGACCGGUCACAUUGGGACUGAGAUACGGCCCAG
RNAcentral lists this ribosomal RNA (251 nucleotides) under uncultured bacterium. Its description in RNAcentral is "partial 16S ribosomal RNA". It matches the Rfam family "Bacterial small subunit ribosomal RNA", at positions 82 to 334 of the family's 1533-position model. The record is from RNAcentral.